GCCUGACCUCGGAUCAGACGUGAUUACCCGCUGAAUUUAAGCAUAUUAUUAAGCGGAGGAAAAGAAACUAACAAGGAUUCCCCUAGUAACGGCGAGUGAACGGGGAAGAGCCCAACACCGAAUCCCUUGGCGCAAGUCAACGGGAAAUGUGGUGUUAAGGUAGCCCUUCGUGUCAGUCUAGGCGUCUCAAGUCCACCUGAUUGUGGCUCAAGCCCAGAGAGGGUGUAAGGCCCGUAGAGACGCUCCGACUGAUUCCUGGGGUUUACCUACGAGUCGGCUUGUUUGGGAAUGCAGGCCAAAGCGGGUGGUAAACUCCAUCCAAGGCUAAAUACUGGCACGAGUCCGAUAGCGGACAAGUACCGUGAGGGAAAGUUGAAAAACUUUGAAGAGAGAGUUCAAUAGUACGUGAAACCGCUUAGAGGCAAACGGAUGGUGCUCAUACUGGCCUGAGGAAUUCAACUGUGACGGUGGCUGGACGAGCUGGCGUUCCGAUCUCUCUUUUGGGACGGGCGCGUCGGUUUGGCUAUCAGCUCCGACAUGGUGCACUUUCCUUGGUGCCUCCGCCACGACCGACGACACUGGCUACCCGCGGCUGGGGUAAGGUGACAAACUGCUUCGGCAAUUUGUGUUAUAGACCCCGGCGUCGGACAUGGUUUGGCCAGGACGUCGAGCUUGCGGCGCCCGCUCCUUGUGGGCUCGCAUGUUGGCUAGCUUGGCUGCGCCGAUGCUUGCACUGGACAACCAGUACAGGUGACGGUUGUGGUCUUGUCUCUAGUUGGCCUCUGCGAGUUUGGCGCCUAUAGUCUGUGGUGUACUUGUGGGUAGACUAUCCGACCCGUCUUGAAACACGGACCAAGGAGUCUAACAUGUGCGCGAGUCAUGGGGAUUCUACGAAAACCCAAAGGCGCAGUGAAAGUAAAGGCCUGCUUCUCGUAGGCUGAGGUGGGAUCUCGUGCAUCGCGAUUGGCGAGCGCACCACCGGCCCGUCCUAUCUGUCUCUGUCAGUGGGGCGGCGCAAGAGCGUACACGUUGGGACCCGAAAGAUGGUGAACUAUGCUUGCGCAGCUCGAAGUCAGUGGAAACACUGAUGGAGGAGCGCAGCGUUUCUGACGUGCAAAUCGAUCGUCAAACGUGAGUAUAGGGGCGAAAGACUAAUCGAACCAUCUAGUAGCUGGUUCCCUCCGAAGUUUCCCUCAGGAUAGCUGGCACUCGGGAAACAGUUUAUCCGGUAAAGCGAAUGAUUAGAGGCAUUGGGGUCGAAACGACCUCGACCUAUUCUCAAACUUUAAAUGGGUAAGAUGCUCGUCUCGCUUAAUUGGAGGCGGGCUUCACCUCUCUAUAACGUGAAUGUGAGUGCCCAGUGGGCCAUUUUUGGUAAGCAGAACUGGCGCUGUGGGAUGAACCAAACGCGCGGUUAAGGCGCCCAAUGCGGACGCUCAUGAGACACCACAAAAGGUGUUGGUCGAUACUGACAGCAGGACGGUGGCCAUGGAAGUCGGAACCCCGCUAAGGAGUGUGUAACAACUCACCUGCCGAAUCAACCAGCCCUGAAAAUGGAUGGCGCUGGAGCGUCGGGCCUAUACCGUGCCGUUGGGGCGAAGCAGACAAAUAAUCUGUGUGGAUGUCCCAACGAGUAGGAGGGUCGCCGUGGUGAGCGCAGAAGGUGCGGCCGUGAGGCCGGCUGGAGCCGCACCACGGGCGCAGAUCUUGGUGGUAGUAGCAAUUACUCAAGUGAGAACCUUGAGGACUGAAGUGGAGAAGGGUUCCAUGUGAACAGCAGUUGAACAUGGGUCAGGCGGUCCUAAGCGAUCGGGUAACUCCGUACCUAGACGAGGGUGACAACUAUCACUGAUAACUGUGAAGUGUUAUAGCCCUCCGGAGCGAAAGGGAAUCGUGUUAAUAUUCACGACCCUUACCGUGGAGAUCGCCCCUUUCGGGGGCAAGUGCGGUAACGCAAACGAACACAGAGACGUCGGCUGGAGCCCCGGGAAGAGUUCUCUUUUCUUUGUAAGGAGCGUACCCCCUGGAAUCGGCUUGUCCGGAGAUAGGGGCGUGGCUUCCGUAAAGCAGCGCGGGUCUUGCGCUGUCCGGUGCACUCUAGUCGGCCCUUGAAAAUCUGUGGGAGACAGUGUGAUUUUCACGGUAGGCCGUACCCAUAUCCGCAGCAGGUCUCCAAGGUGAACAGCCUCUAGUCCUAGAACAAUGUAGGUAAGGGAAGUCGGCAAAAUGGAUCCGUAACUUCGGAAAAGGAUUGGCUCUGAGGGCUGGGUCGGAUGGGCUGGCGUAAGAAGCUGUUCCGGUUUUGGGUGAGGACUGGGCGAGGCUUUCGGGCUUUACUCGGACCAUGCCGAGACCAGGCAGUAGACGACGUCAGCUGUGCUUGUCGUGUUUCGGCGCGGCAGCUUCGUCCGGCAACAAACAGCCAAACUCAGAACUGGCACGGACUAGGGGAAUCCGACUGUCUAAUUAAAAACAAAGCAUUGCGAUGGCUGUUGCUCGUGUUGACGCAAUGUGAUUUCUGCCCAGUGCUCUGAUGUCAAAGUGAAAGAAAUUCAAUCAAGACGCGGGUAAACGU
RNAcentral lists this ribosomal RNA (2575 nucleotides) under Macrostomum lignano. RNAcentral's name for it is "eukaryotic LSU rRNA". It matches the Rfam family "Eukaryotic large subunit ribosomal RNA", at positions 1 to 2253 of the family's 3401-position model. Lineage: Eukaryota; Metazoa; Platyhelminthes; Macrostomidae. The record is from RNAcentral.